GGGCCCGCACAAGCGGUGGAGUAUGUGGUUUAAUUCGAUGCAACGCGAAGAACCUUACCAGGGUUUGACAUCCUGCGAAUCUCUUGGAAACGAGAGAGUGCCUUCGGGAACGCAGUGACAGGUGGUGCAUGGCUGUCGUCAGCUCGUGUCGUGAGAUGUUGGGUUAAGUCCCGCAACGAGCGCAACCCACGUCUUUAGUUGCCAGCAUUUAGUUGGGCACUCUAAACGACUGCCUCGUCUCAACGAGGAGGAAGGUGGGGAUGACGUCAAGUCAGUAUGGCCCUUACGGCCAGGGCUGCACACGUACUACAAUGCCCAGUACAAUGGGAAGCAAUACCGCGAGGUGGAGCAAAUCCUACAAAACUGGGCCCAGUUCAAGAUUGUAGUCUGCAACUCGACUACAUGAAGUCGGAAUCGCUAGUAAUGGCGCAUC
RNAcentral lists this ribosomal RNA (433 nucleotides) under uncultured bacterium. RNAcentral's name for it is "bacterial SSU rRNA". It matches the Rfam family "Bacterial small subunit ribosomal RNA", at positions 917 to 1350 of the family's 1533-position model. The record is from RNAcentral.